RNAcentral lists this ribosomal RNA (303 nucleotides) under uncultured bacterium. RNAcentral's name for it is "partial 16S ribosomal RNA". It matches the Rfam family "Bacterial small subunit ribosomal RNA", at positions 507 to 807 of the family's 1533-position model. The record is from RNAcentral.
AGCAGUAGCCGCGGGAAUACAGAGGGUGCGAGCGUUAAUCGGAUUUACUGGGCGUAAAGCGUGCGUAGGCGGCUUCUUAAGUCGGAUGUGAAAUCCCUGAGCUUAACUUAGGAAUUGCAUUCGAUACUGGGAAGCUAGAGUAUGGGAGAGGAUGGUAGAAUUUUAGGUGUAGCGGUGAAAUGCGUAGAGAUCUGGAGGAAUACCGAUGGCGAAGGCAGCCAUCUGGCCUAAUACUGACGCUGAGGUACGAAAGCAUGGGGAGCAAACAGGAUUAGAUACCCCAGUAGUCCCUGUCUCUUAUAC